UUCUUUCUCAUCUCACAAUUUGAUAGCAUCAAUAGCUAGCCUCAAAUGUUAUUCAUUCCAUUAGUCCCAUUUUUCUGACAGCACUUAAAGCUAGAACGACUCAAAUACCUCUGGAGCCUGAAAAUUAGAAUCGAUCUGCCUGCUUUUGGCUUGGAACCCAUAACUCCCAUCCUGUUGUAAACUCAUAUCACAAACUUCAGACUUAGAAUAUCUAGGAUUUCGCAAACUAUUACUCCCAUUACUUCUAUUCCUACCAUCAAUCUUACUCCUAUUAGUCUUAGUAUCACCACUUCCUCUUUGCUUUCUACCUAAACCAACUUGCCCUGAAUCUAAUGAACCUAAACCACUCCUAAAUCUACUUCUGUUGCCCUGCUUCCUAAAUUCACCACCAUUUCUACUUUUAGUAUUCUUAUCCAUGCCCCAUUUUCCAGUAGAAUUCUUGUUAUAUCCACUCUCUAAAUCUGAAUUAUCUUCCCUUGCCAACGAAUCCACACAGUCCUUCUUCCUUCCAGUGUGCAGACCACCCCUCCUAAAUUUCUCAUUGACUGACAAAGCAUUACUUUUGUACCCAUUCCUUGCCAUAGCCAUACCAUAUCUAUCUUUAUUUCCAUUUUCAUUUUCCCUUUCGCUUUCACUUUCCAUAGCAGAAUCCUCUUCUCCACUAUCAAAAUCACCAUUCCCAGCAAUCUUACCAUAAGGCCUGACACUAUGAAC
Molecule: unclassified non-coding RNA, 714 nt
Filed under: Hevea brasiliensis (rubber tree)
Lineage: Eukaryota; Viridiplantae; Streptophyta; Magnoliopsida; Malpighiales; Euphorbiaceae
Source: RNAcentral